This 4773-nucleotide long non-coding RNA is filed under the name Gallus gallus (chicken). Its description in RNAcentral is "lncRNA (ENSGALG00010029070.1)". The record is from RNAcentral. Lineage: Eukaryota; Metazoa; Chordata; Aves; Galliformes; Phasianidae.
UUUGUUCCCUGCAGCUCUUUGCACGUGCUUUGCAGACAGUCUGUCUGUGGGCAGUGCAAAGGACUGCUGCCUCCGUUGCAUCACUGGACGGCAGCAUUCGCUGACGGAGCUGUGGCAGUUCUGAGCGAGCGCCGCGAGACCAAUAACGAGGAGGUGGUGCAGCAGCUCUCCGAGUGCCGCUGGACAAAUCAGGCCGUGCGCUCUCUGUGAAUCUAUAAAUUUGACUGGUGUUUAUUGACUACGUUUGAAGGUGGAGUGCUGAGAUGGGCGGCACUCAGCGCUGCCCUGUAACGCCGCGCACUGCAGAAGCUGCUGCCUGCUGACGCUCCUCCUCUCAGUCCUUCAGCUGCAGCUUCUGCAUCAUCUCCACAAGGCUGUCCACUGCGGAGGCCUGGGAAGAAACGGAGCGAGGGUAGAAACAGGACACCACUUCCCUCGGGAUUUUACACUCUCUUCCUUUCAUGUGUGACAGACGGAGGCCCUGAGAACAAGAAGAGCCGUGUCUGUGUUCACCAAGGACUCACCUUCUGCACGUGCAGCGGCAGCUCUGAGGGCAGCCUUCUUCAGCUCCACUCUCCUCUCUUUCUGUCGCUGUCUUCUUGCUAUAGGCAAUAAACAUAGAUGAAUUCAUUUUAUCAGCAGCACAAGUGCAGAAACAUGGGUGCCGUACAAGCAUAAGGCAGCAAAAAGACGGAGGAAAUGGGACUAGGAAGCCUCCUUGUGAAUGAAAUUUCCAGGGGGACGUGCAGAAGACCACCCUGGAGUUAACGGGAAGAGAAGGGGUUACACGUUCGGGCACCUCACUGCCUUUGGACUUUGUAGCCUUCCACUCUUUUCCCCUCCACAGAGAAGGAAAAAGCAAAGCCAACCCUAAGCAAACUCAGUGUGCUCGCACAGGGAAGUGCCUCAGCACGGCGGGUACCACAGCACCUUCUCACCUCUUUGCUUGGAGCUCCGCGCUGCAGCAGGCCCAGGGUGUGCUGCUGGAGCCGGCACACAGUCUCCACUCGGCCCCCUCACUCUCUUAUUGGAAGGCAGCUGAGCUGCUGUUGGUUUCUCUUCCUCCAAGGCCUUGCGUUUAUAUCCAGCCAGGGUGCUGGAGACAGAGCGGGGGCACACGGCAGGGGAAGGUCUUCCCCCUGUGCUGGGACCUGCUCUUCUAAGAGGACCUCCAGCCUGGAGAGGAGCUUGAGCUGCUGCCUGUUGAGAAGCUCUCUCAGUAUGGACCUGCUGGACCACUUUGACAUAGAUUUUGUCAUUUCGCUCAGCACCAAUCUCUGUUAAGAAAGGAAAAACAAGGAGAUUUAAUGAGAGCCCAACACUACUUUCAGCCUGCAAAACGGGUCACAAUCCUGGGACAUCUCAUCUCAAGUGCUCACGGUCAUGGAUCAUAGGAUCUCGGCUGAACUGUGGGUUCACAUUUCUAAUCAGCACAGGAAUGCUAACUGUACAUGCCAGGGAUUAAGACCAGAACAAACACACAACGUCCACAGUCCCAGGAAAGGACGGACAGAAAGCCUCACUAGAGAGACAGUGCACCAAACCCAGGUGCCUGCUGUGUGUCUGUACCUCUCUUGGGUGCUGUGCCACACUGGGCGCUUCUGCCUUGCCUUUCUGCAAGGCUGCGCUUUGCUGGAAGGCCGCUCGCAUCAGCUUCUGGCAGAAAGGAGACAAGACAGACAUGAAGAGCAUCUCUAUGGCGGAAGAUUUGAGCACAGCCAACCACAAUCUUCUGGUCUUCAAGAGCAGUUUCUUCAGCUUGCCUUUCUGCUGCUACAACAUUAUGCCGCUUCUGCAGUCAGCACAGCUCACAAGAGCUUCUUACCUGCGGAGGCUUUGCGUUUCCAGCCUUGCCCAGCACCACUCCAUGGACGCGCAGGCUCCAUCCCUACAACAACAGAUGGUGUGUUGAUUUCACAGACACCAGCAGGCAGCAGAAGUACUGCCCAGUAUGCCCACGUCCCCCCAGAAAACAGAAAGAGGCUACUUGGACAGCCCAAACACAAACUGAUUGAGAGUUCACUUCUCACUGCUCCUUCCUGCACUCCAAAGGGAUGCUCACUUGACAUCCCCUGCAGCGCUGCACCCGCCCAGAAGGAAUACUCAAAAUUCAUUCCUCCACACUUCACGACAGAUGGCUGAAGAAACUCACUUCUGUAUGGCAUGAAGGACCGUCCGUCCCUGUUGCGUCCCUCUGUGCGCUGGAAGGCGCGGUGGGAUCUCUGGCAGCCUGCUGGCUGCUGCUCCCAACCGCGGGGAACCGCACCGCGCCGCUUCUGAAGAGAGAAAGGAAGAAACGGUGGUGGGAACGGGCAGCCAAGGCUUGCAGAGAGGUUCCAGAUGGUGCCAGAGAGGGGAUGUCAGAGUGCUGAGACACUGAUUAUCACUAAGGGAAAAGACGGCCUGAGCCACGUCCGCGUUGUUAGCCCAGGCUGUCAGCAGUGAGCGCUGAAUGCAACCGGUUACUGAGGUCACCAAGGACCAGCAGGGCUCCCCCUGCUCCAUCCAUUCCCCAUGAUAAAAAGAGAAAGGAAGAACCAAGCAGAAGAAGCCCAGCCAUACCUUGCCACUCAGACGGCAGCAAUUGGAACCGCGGUCGUCUCCGUGCUGAGACAUGGCCGCUGAAGGCUCAGAGGAAGCUGAAGGUCCCAGGCCUCUGUGCACAGGAACUUCCCCGGCCCUUGCAAAGAGCUGGCUUCCCUCUUCCUCCGACUGCCUCGAUCCCAAAAUCUCCCUUGGGACAGGAACCCUGCAGAGAGUACCGACGAGUGCACACGCGGUGCUUCUGACGGGCUCUCACAGGGUGAUCUGUUCCACGGAAGGCCCAGAGCUCAGCCUCGGUGUGCAGCACGCUCACCAGAGCACCAGCUCUGCUCACCAGCUGUGGCGGAAACGCUGCCAGCCCAGCAGUGAUUGUGACCUCAGCGAGUGCCCGCAUCGCUUCCGUGCUUUCAUCAUAAGCGAAGGAAAUGGACGACUCCCUGAUCCACAUCUUAGGAAAUCACCACCAGGGUCACCCAGUGGGGUUAUUUGAAUAAUGGAGAAGUGAAGAUGACUGUUGUGCAGCCCAGUAAAAACCAGUCAAGACCAGUAUGGCCUCAGAGUGGUCAAUGGAGUCCCAGGGGAACCCGUAGAAAACUAAACCCAGGGCCUGUGCCAGCAUCUCUGUUUGGGGCUUUGAGUCCCAGGGCUGAUUUCAGCCUCUCCGGCUGUGGCUUUAAGUCCCAGGGCCAGUGCUGGGCUCCCCGCCUGUGUCUGUGGCCUCAGGCCCUUGGCUGCUUCUGGCCUCUGCAGCUGGCAUUGUGGCUUUAAGCCCUUGGACUGGUUCCAGCCUUUCAGGCUGUGGUUUUGGUCCCCAGGAUUGGUACCAAAUUUGAAGAAACCAACAGGAGGCUCACCCAAUGGGGUUCUGUGAAGCAUCAGAACAGAGAAAUACACACGAUUGUUGUGUAGCCAGGCUGGGUCAGCCUCUCGCUCAGGUGCUGCAUGAUUCGAAGCAGGAGACGUUUCCCCCAGGCUGCAUCCUGAUUGGGGUCAUUGGAGACAAUGGGGUCAUUGGGGUCUAUGGGGACAUUGGAGUCAAUGGGGUCACUGGGGUCAAUGGGGGUCAUUGGGGUCAGUGGGGGCCAUAGGGGUCUUUGUGGUCAUUGAAUUAAAUGGGGUUAUUAGAGUGAAUGGGGUCAUUGGUGUCAGUGGGGUCAUUGGAGUAAAUAGGGUCAUUGAAGUGAAUGGGGUCAUUGGAUUCAAUCGGAUCAUAAGGGUCAAUGUGGUCCCUGCGGCAAUGGGGGUCAUUAGGGUCAAAGGGUGUUAUUGGGGUCAUUGUAGUCAAUGGAGUCAUUGGGGUCAAUUGGUUCAUUGGGGUCAAGUGGCUUAAUGCGGUCAGUGGGGGUUAUUGGAGUCAAUGGAGUCAUUGGGAUUAAUGGGGUCAGUGGGGUCAAUAGGGUCAUAUGAGCUUAAUGGGGUCACUGGGGUCAGUAGGGUUAAUGGGUUGUUGGGGUCUUAUGGGGUCAUGGGUAUCAUUAGGAUCUUUGGGAUCGGUGGGGUCAGUGGGGUCAUGUGGGGUCACUGGGCCCAUGUGGGAUCAUUGGGAUCAUGAGGAUCAGUGGGGUUAUAUGGUUCAUGUGAGGUCACUGUGGUCACUCGGUCAAAAAGGUCUAUGGGGUCAGUCGGGCCUAUGGGGUCAUUGGAGGCCAGAAGGGUUUGGGCUUCCAAGCAAUCACCAAGCUUUUGGAUGAGCCAGCCCUCUGCUUUUUGUGAGGACAGACCCCAACGAGCCCACAUAACCCGAAUAACCUCCUUGACCCCCACAGACAAGUCCUCCUUGGAAAGCCAUCUCGGCAAGGGCAGAAUAGCGCUGUUCUUGGGCCGCAGCACUCCAUGGCCAGGCGCUGCUCAGACACUGGGGCUGCAUUUCCUCCUGGGCACCCACACAUGCUGCGAUUCCCCUGCAGGUUCCUGCCGGGUUUGUGGCUUCCUGCUGGGGAACUCCUCAUCUUCUUCUGCAACUGCCCCCCAACGUCACUACUGCCUCCUCUGGUGCUGUACUGGCAGAUGCCUCAGCGUUCAUGAGCCUGGACUUCCUGCCUCCCAUCAGCAGCUGCUCCUUCAUUCAUACUGCAAUACCGUCCACUUCCAGCUCCAGCAGAGCUGCAAGGCAGAGAUGGGAAACGUGGGAUUAAUGCAAAAGCAGAAGCCCAAGGCUGUCCCACCACCACGUAUUGCAGCCUCGGAAAGUCAGCUGCAACUACAACCUCUGUCAGAAUCAAAACAGGC